Molecule: long non-coding RNA, 3165 nt
Organism: Mobula hypostoma (lesser devil ray)
Lineage: Eukaryota; Metazoa; Chordata; Chondrichthyes; Myliobatiformes; Myliobatidae
Exons: 3
Source: RefSeq, a predicted model, not a curated record
GUUGAAGUUUAGCAACUGCUCACGCUUGCAAGGCGUGGAGCGAUGGCAGUAUCGCGAGGAGUAGAUGCCGAGCCACGGCCAGUCUCUGUUUUAAAAAGGGUUCUGUUGGAGACCUUGACCUGGAGUUACACGCUGACUCUGGUUCUUUGGCGGGAAUGGGACCUGCUCUUGGGGUUUCACAACUACCCAUGGCUCAGCAUGCCAAGGGCUUGGCCUAAGAGUUCAGCUCAUCUUCGGAGGGCCGAGAUCUCGUGGCUCUGGAGACGGGCAGAUCGAAGGUCGGUGUCAUGACAGGAGGAGGGAGAUCUACAACUGUGUGCCCAGAGACCUGAGAUCUUUGGGCACGGAGCUCGCAAAAAGGGACGCAAUGGAAUUUUAACUUCGUAAACCAGUUCAUGUCAAACUACAUGAGGACUGAUAUUACUCGCAUCAUCAAGCAGUAAUACAUUACAUUAAGCAGUAAAUGUAGAUGAUAAGAUUCUGCCCAAGACCAUCCCCAACAAGGUCAAAGCUGCACUGGGACAGGUGAUUCAGCUGGAUCAGACGUGUGAGACAUGGCAGGAAAAGCUUUGAGAGCCUUCCGCUGAUCAGGGAAACACGGGAUGGAGGAGUAGAUGUGUGCUUGGUCAGUUUCAACCAGAAAAAGGCCUGCAACAGGAUAUCACACAUAUACCUGUUGGGAUUUGCUCUCCAAAAUAUAUUUUGGUUAAGGAAACAGGAAUUGGAUCUAAUUGCUGUGCAUAGAUAGCUUCCCCAUCAAGUCUGCAAUCAGUCAAGGGAGUCCACAGUCCCCUAUCUUAUCGUGUGAGACACAGAACCCUUUGUUAAAUCCAUCAGGAAGAACAAGAGCAUGAGAAGGUGAGGUCACCAGGCAGUGGAGGCACGCGAGUCAAAACCUCCCUGUACAUGGACAACAAUGCCAUCCUCUGCUGAGAUCCAAGGCCAGUUCACAGGUUGAUUAGCAUCCGCAACCACUCUGCAUGGGCAUCAGGGGUCAAAGUCAACUGCUGUAACAGUGAGACCAUGCUCCUUGGCAACUGAUCUGACUGACCCCCUCACCAUCUGGUCUGACUACCUGAAGGUGCUAGGGAUAUGGUUUGGAGGGGCUGUGACGUGUAACAAAAAGCGGCUGGAGCAGAUUGGAAAGGUCAGACAAAAAUAGGGACUAUGGAAACAGCACUCCCUUCCAAAUAAGUUGGAAGUACUCGGUCAUCAGGGAUGACGUGCUCUUGAGGCUGCCAUACUGGCAGAGAUUUGGUCUAUCUUCCAUUCUUCCAUCUUAGUAAUCACCCGGGCCAUCUUCCAGUUCAUCUGGAUUCAACAGACCACAAUGCACAUCCCCAGAGAAUGAGGGAAAGAUGUACCUAAUGUUGCCCUCAUCCUGAGGACCAUUUUCGUGCGUGGCUACAUCAUGGUGUGUGUGGAACCAAAGUACUUGAGCAUCACACAGAAAAUGCUGGAGGAACUCAGCAAGCCAGGCAGCAUCUAUGGAAAAGAGUAACCAUUCAACGUUUCGGGCUGAGACCCUUCAUCAGGACUGAGCAGACAUGAGCAUCAAGUGUCAUUAUGUGCUGAGCUUCUACUAUCUCCAGUGUUGUAGAGAAUAGGUCUGGCCCUGCUGCCAAACAAUGUCCCAGUCAGAAGGACAUUACCACACUACCUGCCUCUUUUGGAAAAGUUCUACCAAGCUAACAGUUUUGAUUACAAAGCAUUAGGUAGUGGUCAGCACAGAACAUCCUGCAGACACCACAGGACAAUGAUUCUGUGUCCUAAUCAUCUGGCAGAAUGCUCUGUCACCAGAACUCACCAGCAAGCACCAAGAGCUUACUUGGCUGGCAGUGAGGGUCCUCAAAAUCAGAUCCUUCCUGUACAGUCAAAAUAUCAUCCCAAUGCACCCUGCCCUCAGGACGGCUAUGGUGGGGAAGAGAUAAUCACCUAUCUCUUGGCAGACAGUGAAUUUGCUAAAAUGGCAAAUUCUCUGUUGGAGAAUGUUGCUGACUGGCACAUUUCAGACUGCUGGAGUACCUGUUGACAGGCAGAUUGAAGCUUGGUGCAACUGGUACAAGAGCUCUGCAGGGAGAGACCAUAGUCUAGACUGCUUCUACUACUGGACAUGGAAGGGAUGAGUCAACUGGGGAAACUCCUUAAACAAUGAAAGGAUGUAUCACCCAAAGGUCGGGGGGGGGGUGCGGAUUCACAUGACUGGCAAUGGUGCUAUGGUUUUAAGUAAAGUACUUCCGUAUGUAUUGAUCAAAUGACAAUAAGAAUGUAAACAGUUUUUUUGUAGGCUUUUAUCCUUGUGUAUAAAUUUUAUAACGAGUGAAGCUUAGUUCUGAAAAAAAAGGUGCUUUGUUCUCUCUUAAGGCUGUGUACACUCACAAGGGCAAAGACUAAAUUCUUUAUGUGCGAUUUUUGAUAGUUUACUCUCCUGGGCUACCCUUUCACAUCCAUGUUAAAUCAUAACAUUUGCAAAGCCUCUAUCUACAUGCACUUCGUAAUCAGCAAAAUUGAUUAAUUUUUACACUUUCCUUCCAAAAUCCAGAGAGGCUGAGGUUAAUUGCAUCAACUGAACUCAUGCUUUAUCUCAAACGAGCUAACGCAGAACAAAUGGGGAUUUGAAACCUGGAACAUCUUACUGAAUGUUAGAUAUGAAUGAAAUGAUCUUAUUGACAAUAUUAAUAUGAUUUCUUAUACCUGAUUUAAAAAACAUUGGGAAAAAGUUCCAAGAUUUAUAGUCUGUUGUCCAGCGGAUAUCAUUUUCAAUGUAAUUUGAGCGAGGAGGGGUGGGCCCAGGACCCUUGCUGAAACGUGCACCUUGGAAACUGAGUGGCGGAGUUACGGUAUUCAGACUGACAUUUUUUAAUUAAUUAUGUUUCUCUCUUCAGAGAUGCUGUUUAACCUGCUAAAUAGCUCCAGCAAUUUUCUGUCUUUAAUGUUACACUGCCAGCAUCUUAAGUUUUUCUUUUGAUUUUCAGAGUUAGCUUUGGAUUUGAGACUUCCACUGCCAAAUGCUUCAAUGACACUUGAUGUUGGCAUUUAUACAUCAUUAUUUGCUGUUUCAUUGCCUCUGCUUGUGGAUCAUAGUGUGCUUAUCAUGGCCAUGACAAGACAAUGAGAGAACUUGAAUUGUGUCUCGCUGAUUUGUGAUUAGUGAGUGAUGUAGAA